GGUAAGGUGGCUUAGGGGUAGAGUGCUUGCCUUGAAUGCAUGAAGCCCUGGGUUCGAUUCCUCAGUACCA
Molecule: transfer RNA, 70 nt
Filed under: Dipodomys ordii (Ord's kangaroo rat)
Lineage: Eukaryota; Metazoa; Chordata; Mammalia; Rodentia; Heteromyidae
Rfam family: tRNA
About the family: Transfer RNA (tRNA) molecules are approximately 80 nucleotides in length.
Source: Rfam by way of RNAcentral